UUUUUUUUUUUUUGAAAUAACUGACUUUUCACCCCAUUCACAGCUCACUACUUCCUCACACGAUGCACAAAUAUUUCUCAUAGAAUAUUUUGGUGUUCUUUGUAAUGUAAGAUGACUAUCAUGUCUGAUCUUUCAAGUACUGAACACUUUCCAUCAGUCUGUCCUGGUUAGGUACCUUGACUGAGGAUAGAUUCAAAUUGCAGGAACCCAAAGGCUGCAUAUGAGGGCACACUGGUACAUGUUCAUUCAUAAAUGUGAACACACAUAAAUAUGUGCAGGGGAUGAGGCGAUAAGGGGAAGGUACAGAUAGAAGAAGCCAACUGAAUUUCUUCCGGAGAUUGUCUAGAGUGGCUGCAUGUGAUCCAAACAUAAAGCCUUGGUCUAGGAAAUGUUGUUCUUCUAAUGCCCUUUGUCUUAUGCAUGCACACUAAGUGCCAAAACCUGUGACUUCCAAACCACAGGGCUUGUAUGAAUUAUCUACUUAGUCCUUUAUUAACAAAGUCAACGUGCAAAUUUGUGAGAUUCCAGGAUAAGCAGUUUAGUGAGCAGAGGAUUCUGUUGGUUCCAAACAGCAAGAAGAGCCAGAUCCAGUUGGAUGAGGCCUUACCAAAGGCAUGUGACCUAAUACUAUACUCUCUAGGGUUGUUGUUACUGACCAGCAACAGUACGCUGUCCGUCACAGUGAAAGGGCCUGCUCAUGCACUUCUCCUGGUCAUGACCCAUCCUCCACGUGGACAACUUUUGAAGGGAUGGGCCACAGGGUGCUCUUGGCAUGCAGGUGUUCCCAUGUGCUAUUUGGUGGCUGCUCAGCCAGUACACACUUGAGGGAAAGAGGGGGAACCCCCUUUGUAAUAUUCUUAAUGCUCUGGUGGGAGAAACUAUUUCCACUCCGUGCCUACCCCUCACAUGGUCACAGUCAUCCUCCUGACCCAUCUGUAUAGGCUCAGGUGUUACCAUCUGUUCUGAGUUUUCGAAAUGUCAGUGAUGACGUGGGCGGCCUGGAGUUUCAAAAUUCAGCCAGUUGUAUCGCUGCUGCCACUUCUACCUUGAUCUGUGUGUCCAUCUGCUGCCCCUGCCACCUGGGUCUGUUCCUUCCGGGCCACGCCCAGCUUCUGUGCUUAGGCUGCCUUCCAAGAGGGCUACAAGUCUCCAGGAUGUCUUUAGUUCUUCCCACAAAAUCAUUUUUCUGAAGCUGUGCAUUCAUCAUCCUAGCCCCUGCUCAAAACCUUUAAGCACUGACACACACACACACACACACACACACACACACGAAUGUUCCCUGCAAAUGAAAGGCCCAACACUAAUGGUCUGUCUCUAACAAAUUGCCGCAGCCUCCUCUUCCCCCAAGCCUGCCAUAGCCAGCCAGCCCUGGAUCUGCCACUUGUCACUAUACUUUGCCUCUUACCGUGCCACUCUUCCUAUAUGGGAAGAUCUGAAGGUCUUCUCUGAUUUUUAAGAUUUUGAUCCACCUGUCACUCUCUUUUAACCCAUACUAACAUAUUCCUUCUAAACUUCUGUAACGUUGGUAUAUUUUAUCCCAAACUGCAUUCUUUGGAAUUCUGGUCCUAUAAAAUUCUCCAAGAAAAAAAAAAAAAAGGGAAGGUUCCAUCACCAUCUACAUUUAGCAUAUACUGUCUAUGUUAUGCCAUUUGGGAUAUUUACAAAGCACAUUUCAGACAUUUACAAAGCAUGGCCAAAGGCUCUGAAAAGUCCUGCAAUAAUAAAAAAAAGUUUCUGUUGAAUCAACCUGGAGUUUCUCAUUCUAUACUAGACUGUGAAUUUUCUUGGUGUAUAGCAUUUGUUAUGUUCUAUACCACUCACUGGUGCCCCCUCACGUCCAUUGCCACAUUAUCAAUAAUGGACCCAUAGGUGGCCUGAGCAGAAAAACGGCAUAUAGGAAGUUUUACUGAAGCUUCUGCUUCCGAUGGGGGCAACUGCCACCAGAUGUUCUAGAUGUUCCAUUUCGUAAAACAUCAUGUUAGGUGAGCUACCAGAUUCCAAGAACCCUGUAGCAAGUCCUGACUUCAGUGGGCUCUCCUUGUUUGGAACCCGAUCUGUAAAUCCUGAAGGAAAACUCACCAGAGAACUGUGUGUUUAGAAUUUCAGUAGGGAUGUUGAGUUGGCAUCACGUCCUGCGGUGCUUUCUUUAUAACUGGGCUUCAAGUUUCCCUGUAAAUGGGAAUGCCUGGUUCUAAUGGGUAGGUAGUGAUAGAAGUGGGUCUGCCUCUGCCUGGUGCUUUCUCAGUUUUUGAAUGCUGCUGCCAAGCUGAUACUUCUGCCUAGGGAGCGCCUGCAGGGGCAGGACACAGUGGGUGAGGAGAGCAGAAUCAUAAAGAGAAAAGAAGAUUCCUUCAAUCUACAGGAAUCCCCAGAGACCGGUGGCUAAACUGGAAAGGUUGUCCAAUAGCUCCCCACCAUGGAGCAGGUCUUAGAUCGGGACAGAGAGGCCUCCUACAACUCAUGUUUCAGGGCCCCUGACUCCUAGUUCUGGGAACCUUUAGGAUAAGCAUACUGUUGAGCCAUCAGUUCAGUAGAGCACCUAGGCCUCCUGCUGGCAGACUUCUUUCUCUGUGGGUCUUUCUAGUACAGAGAACAUGGCCCAAGUAGCAAGUCAUGUGGCUAGAGGUUCUUUAAUGUUGACAGAAUUUCACAGAAAAUUCUAUCCCUACACUUUCAUUCCUGUAAGUUGCUUUUAAGCCACAUUUCAUAAAUCAGGACCCUGCACUACAUAAGGCAGUAGUGAAGAGUCCAAGUCAUAAAAGGCAACUGCAUUUCAGCUCCUGCUGCCUCUGCCUCCUGGCCAGGCUCACUGAAACACUGUGCUAGAGGAUUGCAAGCAAUGUCUGGACUCCCAGGAACAGUGCUGGGACCCAUUACCUAUAUCCAGCCCGAAUACAGAACAUUUGGACCCCAGUGCAAAAUGAAUACGUGUGGCCUCUUGUUCAAAAACUAUUCAGAAUUUCAAGAUGGUGACAGCAGAGUCAGAGGAGCUUAUGGUCUGUGCAAUUGUUCAUGGCUCAGAGUGGUGAACAAUUGCACAGACCAUAAGCCCAUGAGGUUGGUUUAGCUGGUAUCUGCCACGGACCUGGAAGGGAGGGUGCUGGGGGCUUUAUGGUCUCCCCCUAAGGACUUCAUGGUGGCAAGACUGAAGUCACAGCAUCCUGGAAAGACUUCUUUGAAAGGUGGGCUUCAGGCUAGCCAUCCAGGUGCUCUUUCUAGAUUUAUACCCUCUAAAACUGUUAGCAGACUCGAGCCCCACUAAGUCUUCUGGUUUGACUCCAACUCCAUGCUUUGGUGGGUUCGGGUUCCUUCUUAUAGGCUUGGUCCCUUUUCUACUCUUCAGGUUAUUCUUAUUGAUCCAGUUUCUUUGGCCCCAGAAAAAUCAGGUUUCUUUUCUACCUGGACUGCAGGUCUACUUUUCACACUUGAGAUCAAAUUUUUCAGUACGCAAAUAUCCAAACCUGAUGCUCCCCAUGCCCACAAGCAUGGGGGCUGGCCCAGCCUGUCCUGCAUCCAGCAUGAGCAUCUGCCUUUCCAUGAGCUGACUGCCAGUUGGGUCCAUUUAUUCUGAGCUGCUUCUUAGCUCUCCACUCACAUCCCCCUCUGCUAUGGCUCUACUGUCUCUCUACUGUGUUCACCAUCCACUUGUCUCAGGUUAUCCACCCUAACCCCUCUCCAUUUCUAUCUCUUAUUCUCUGAAAGCCAUAUGCUUCCCUCCGUCCCUUAGCCCCAAUUUCAGACAGAGAUGUGAUGCCAAAGCACUAAGUUCCACAUUCCAACCAAAAUUGCCUACUUCACCCCUUCCAACUCUGCCAAUGUAAAACCCACACACUUAAAAUAUUUUUAUUAGGAAAAAGCAGGCUGCUUAAUAAAUGGUACUAGGAAAAACAGCUGUCCAUUUAGAAAAAAAUUGGACACCUCUUCUUCAAAUUGUAAAUGAAAUUAAAUCCCCAUGAACUUGGCAUUUUGAACCAGAAAGAUAAAACUAUAAAAUACCUCAAGAAAAAAAAAAAAGAGAAUAUUUUUGUAAUCUAGAUUUCCUGAGCAAGCCAAACCUGGGUCUCCAGAAAAUCAUAACAGAUUGGAGUACAUAAAAAUUAAAUAGUUCUAUAAAAUAAAAGACACAGUAAACAAAGUAGAAGGUCAAGCAAUGGACUGGAAGAAAUGAUUUGCACCAUAUAUAUAUUAAAGAUUUAUUUUUUUGGGGGAUCCCUGGGUGGCGCAGCGGUUUGGCGCCUGCCUUUGGCCCAGGGCGCGAUCCUGGAGACCCGGGAUCGAAUCCCACAUCAGGCUCCCGGUGCAUGGAGCCUGCUUCUCCCUC
This 4321-nucleotide long non-coding RNA is filed under the name Canis lupus familiaris (dog). RNAcentral describes it as "lncRNA (ENSCAFG00000051685.1, ENSCAFG00845009442.1)". Lineage: Eukaryota; Metazoa; Chordata; Mammalia; Carnivora; Canidae. The record is from RNAcentral.